RNAcentral lists this ribosomal RNA (403 nucleotides) under Bacteroidota bacterium. RNAcentral's name for it is "Bacteroidetes bacterium partial 16S ribosomal RNA". It matches the Rfam family "Bacterial small subunit ribosomal RNA", at positions 355 to 776 of the family's 1533-position model. The record is from RNAcentral. Lineage: Bacteria; Pseudomonadati; Bacteroidota.
UGGGGAAUAUUGCACAAUGGGGGAAACCCUGAUGCAGCGACGCCGCGUGAACGAAGAAGGUAUUCGUAUCGUAAAGUUCUGUCCUAUGGGAAGAUAAUGACAGUACCAUAGAAGAAAGCUCCGGCUAAAUACGUGCCAGCAGCCGCGGUAAUACGUAUGGAGCGAGCGUUGUCCGGAAUUAUUGGGCGUAAAGGGUACGCAGGCGGUUUAAUAAGUCGAAUGUUAAAGAUCGGGGCUCAACCCCGUAAAGCAUUGGAAACUGAUAAACUUGAGUAGUGGAGAGGAAAGUGGAAUUCCUAGUGUAGUGGUGAAAUACGUAGAUAUUAGGAGGAAUACCAGUAGCGAAGGCGACUUGCUGGACACCAACUGACGCUGAGGUACGAAAGCGUGGGGAGCAAACAGG